GUGCUCGUUCUGGCAGUGCCUACGUGAAAACUAGAAUUAUACAGAAAUUAGCAUGACCCUGUGCGAGGUUGACUCACAUUAGGAUGCAUUCCAUAUUUUU
Molecule: small nuclear RNA, 100 nt
Organism: Vulpes vulpes (red fox)
Lineage: Eukaryota; Metazoa; Chordata; Mammalia; Carnivora; Canidae
Source: Ensembl